UUUACAAUACAUGUCAAGCCGUGACCACUUAUGGCAUGCUCUGUCAUCGCUAUGACCACUUUGGGUUAAAUAGAUAUUUACGUUACACCUGGCAAACGUCCAAUUAUCGAGAGACAGUUGUUGUAUUAUCAUGCCAAGUUUCCCGGGCGAGAAUUCCCUCGGAAACCAACUUGGACCGACCUUGCUCGCUAUUCAAUAGGGCUGCUUCAAGGUUGACCUUUAAGACCUUCUCCAAACUGAAUUUAUUACAUUUGUGAAGAUUCAACAUGUCAAUGCACCUGGCUAUGGUUAAUGUUCACCUUCUCCUGUUAGUCAAAAAACAAAAUGUUCUUGCAAUAAAAGAUCCUUAGACAUAAA
Molecule: long non-coding RNA, 357 nt
Organism: Melitaea cinxia (Glanville fritillary)
Lineage: Eukaryota; Metazoa; Arthropoda; Insecta; Lepidoptera; Nymphalidae
Exons: 2
Source: RefSeq, a predicted model, not a curated record